GCUUGGGAAUUUGCCUUUAGGUGGGGACGAACAGUUGGAACGACUGCUAAUACCGCAUAAUAGCUACGGCUUAAAGGGGGCGUUCGGCUCUCGCCUUUAGAGAAGCCCAAGUGGGAUUAGGUAGUUGGUGAGGUAAAGGCUCACCAAGCCGACGAUCCCUAGCUGGUCUGAGAGGAUGAUCAGCCACACUGGGACUGAGACACGGCCCAGACUCCUACGGGAGGCAGCAGUGGGGAAUAUUGGACAAUGGGCGCAAGCCUGAUCCAGCCAUGCCGCGUGUGUGAAGAAGGCUUUCGGGUU
This 300-nucleotide ribosomal RNA is filed under the name uncultured Gammaproteobacteria bacterium. Its description in RNAcentral is "bacterial SSU rRNA". It matches the Rfam family "Bacterial small subunit ribosomal RNA", at positions 115 to 424 of the family's 1533-position model. The record is from RNAcentral. Lineage: Bacteria; Pseudomonadati; Pseudomonadota; Gammaproteobacteria.